UACGUAGGGUGCGAGCGUUGUCCGGAAUUAUUGGGCGUAAAGGGCUCGUAGGCGGUUUGUCGCGUCGGCUGUGAAAACCUGGGGCUCAACUCCAGGCCUGCAGUCGAUACGGGCAGACUAGAGUUCGGUAGGGGAGACUGGAAUUCCUGGUGUAGCGGUGAAAUGCGCAGAUAUCAGGAGGAACACCGGUGGCGAAGGCGGGUCUCUGGGCCGAAACUGACGCUGAGGAGCGAAAGCGUGGGGAGCGAACAGG
This 253-nucleotide ribosomal RNA is filed under the name uncultured bacterium. RNAcentral's name for it is "partial 16S ribosomal RNA". It matches the Rfam family "Bacterial small subunit ribosomal RNA", at positions 524 to 776 of the family's 1533-position model. The record is from RNAcentral.